Molecule: long non-coding RNA, 380 nt
Organism: Salvia miltiorrhiza (redroot sage)
Lineage: Eukaryota; Viridiplantae; Streptophyta; Magnoliopsida; Lamiales; Lamiaceae
Exons: 2
Source: RefSeq, a predicted model, not a curated record
UAUUGUUGGUGUUCUUAACUCAAGAGAAAUGUUUUCAAUUAUUUAUUUAUUAAAUUUUGAAAACCCGGCUAAGUGAAUCAUAGAAUGUUAAGCACUACACCAUGACUUAAGAUUAGAUUUAAGGAGACCUAUUGAGAAUAGAAUUUCUUGUAGGCUUUGUGACCAGGGGGAUUAGCGCUGCUUUCCCAAGACAGGUUUAUAUGUGAUUAUGAUCUUCAGGCUUUGCCUAACCAGGUUGGCUGGCCGGUGCUGACGGGACGGAGCUGAGGCUAGCGAUAAAUUCCUAUGAUAGACUUCCGCUGUAGCAAUUACUCAUAUCAGUCUUUUGUUUUCCCAACUUAAGAUCUUCAUGUUAAAUUUCAAAUGAUAUACCUGACCGA